AUUUGAUUCCAAUCCUUGCUUUAUUUGUUUGUUACCAGUCGCUAUCAUUGCACGCGUUGCAAGUGAUUCUUUUUUAACGGUUUUUACUGUUUAAAACAAAAUGUCGUACAUAACAGAUACUGUUAAGAGUUGCGAGUUGCUCGAUUGUAACCUGUAAUCUAAAGGUCGGUUAAUAUCUCGUGCGCGAAUCGAUACCGAUCACAAUACACGCCGUGUCUUCACACUCCCGCAUCCCUCCUGAUGUCAUACCUAAUCGAAGAAAAACUCCGUGAAGCAGCGUGCCUCGGUGACAUCGAGUCCGUGCAGGGUUUAAUCUCGCAGCACGUGAAUAUCAACGCGCAGAACCGCAUAAACGGAUGGAGUGCGUUGCAUUGGGCUUGCAAGCGCGGACACGAGGAUGUCGUGCGCGUCCUGCUGAACAACGGCGCCGAUAUCAAUCUUGAAACCAACAACGCUGAGAAGCCGGCGAGUCUCUGCACGCAUUCGAAUAUAGCGCAACUGCUGGGCGAACCAGUUGCGCAACCGACAUCACCGCAUAACAACCAUCUGGAGGCCGGCGACGAGCUGAAAUUUGUACCAAAUUACAUCAAAAAUGCGCCAAUCAAUGGUCGAGUGGAGUUGAACUUUAUGCCAAGAUCUGCUGCACUUCCAAUUACUAGUCUUCCAAGCAAUGCUGUGCAUUCAUCAGCCAACUCAAUAGUGCUCAAAGUGCGAGUGAAUGGCUCUUGUGAUCCGGAUUUUAUUGAAAUUGAAUUGCCUACUGAUAAAUUGUGGUUUUCUGCAUUAAUGGACCUGUGCUGUGAGGAACUUGGAGUGUCUGCCUCACAAGUUGAGAGAAUUCGAAAACUACCCAACACUAGAUUAAGAAAUGAUAAUGAUGUGGGUAGAUUAGUUAAUUUCCAAGAGUUAGAGGUGGUUUUAAAAGGCCCUGGCUUAGACAAGUUCAACAACAGUUACCAGAGCAUAUCAUCCUGUAAGGAUCAAACAAUUCUUUAUUGACUAACAUUUAUUAACCAUGUUUUCUUAUGGCAAUAAUAAAUGAAUGUUAAGUUGCAGUUAAGUUAGCACAUGUGUUAUUAAAUCAUGGAGAAAAGUGAUUACUUUAAGGCCUGGGUUGCCAAAUUAAUAGAUAGCCAUCAAGAUACAACAGAGCAGGAGCCAGUAGUUAAACUAAAAUCACUUGAAAAUGUAGCUGUUCCUGAGGAUGAGAAAGAAAUUCAAAGUAGGAUUAAUUGCCUAAAAAAAGAAGCAGUUGCAGAGUACGUAGAACUAAGAAUGGACAGAAAUAUAGGGGAAUGGCAACCAGAAUCACGUCUUAUUAGAAUUAUUAGCUUAUCGGGUGCAGGCGCUCAUUCAUUAGGGUUUCAAAAUGCCGACGGGAAGUUUUUAACACCUUUUGAGGCUUUGUUUCUGUUAGAGAACAAUAGGUUAGAAAUAUUAAAUGAUGAUAUUCCAUGGACAGUUUUCGAAGCAUACCGCACAUUGCUACCGAGAAACGACGAUGUUCUAAAGUACAAAUAUUAUCGGAAAUUUGCUCUUCUAGGCGUGUAUCGUGAUUGUCCAAUGGAUAAUUCACUUGAAGAGAUUCAUCAAGAGCAGAAGCGGUUUAAAACAACUCAUCCUGAUGAUGAUCGCGAUAAAAUAAAGUGCAUCAAUCAGCAAAACGUUGAAAAAAAGACAUUUAGUAAUAUUUUUGAAGAAUUAAUUGCAUCUGGACCACAAACAAAAGUUCCUAGAUUUCAACAGUCUAAAAUACCAAAUUAUAUUACGAGUGAUGAAUUAAACGCGAAUUUUUUCGAAAGUGCUUCCAAUCUUUGCGUUUCGACGGGCGAAUCGUUCAUUGGGAUCCAACCCAUCCAAACAACUUUACUUCCACCCGAGGGCGACUAGAAUAAAGAUGUAAGUACUCGCAUUUUCCCCCUACUCAAUCGCCACUCAACGCGAGCACACCAUGCCCACAGUCAAAUCUCCUGGUGCUGGUGGACGGGCCGGGGCCGAUGUACAGGUAGUAUAAGUAAGCGCGAAGCCACCUGAGCCACCUGAGUCUCGCGUUCAAUUCACGUUACGCCGGAGUAACAACUGUAUACAAGAGCGUACGCUCCGCGGCACGCACGGCACGAGUUAUCAUCAUCGCAGAGCGCGGCGCAGUUCUCGCAACCUAAACUAAGUCAACUCCGACGCACAGUGCGCGCAACAGGUCGGCCCCGAUUGCAAAUAUAAUAGUGAUAUCGAACAAAUAAUAAACCAAGCAUCAUCGCGAUCGAGAACCGAGAGAGCUAUAUUGGUGCGCGCCGCGACCGACAGACAGACCGCAGCGGCAAGGACGCCGAAGGACGAAGAAUCGCAGCAGCGCCCGCCAAGCAGUUUCAUUAUCAACGCAUUAGCAUCUGUCGAACGUAUUGCCUUACCUAGGAGCGUUCGUCUCGCCGGCUACGAAGUGCACGUUGGACACAUUGCAUUACGCAUUACGUUUUAUUGCAUAUUUCGAUAUAUUCCCGAUAGCGGCGAAGGGGGAUCCCACUCGCGUCGUCGUGAUCUCGUGCUCGUCGAUUUUUCCACCGGCUGCUCGCGCGCUCGUCAUCCCAUCCGAGAGCGAUUUUUUUGCUCCACCUCGCCCCGUUUCGACGUAUUACGCCACGCUGAUACAAAAGACGGCGAAGACUUC
Molecule: RNA transcript, 2665 nt
Organism: Dalotia coriaria
Lineage: Eukaryota; Metazoa; Arthropoda; Insecta; Coleoptera; Staphylinidae
Gene name: ankyrin repeat domain-containing protein 40-like
Exons: 10
Source: RefSeq, a predicted model, not a curated record